Molecule: long non-coding RNA, 7382 nt
Organism: Myxocyprinus asiaticus (Chinese sucker)
Lineage: Eukaryota; Metazoa; Chordata; Actinopteri; Cypriniformes; Catostomidae
Exons: 18
Source: RefSeq, a predicted model, not a curated record
CAAAGGGUGUAAGUAUACACGCAAGUGCAUACGCAACAUAUCAAAUGUACUUCUGUAAAUCAGUUUAGCACCAAUCUAAGACGGACCAAACUAAGCAGCAGGAUUUAGGUAAACAUUACGGAUUUUCCUGAUAGCAGCUGUGGUGGAACUGCAGGUCUUUAGAGAGCAUGUUCAGGUUUAAUUCGCACCCAGUGCAUGCUCGACGCGCUCGCGCUGCCAUCUUGUCCUCUCGCUGGACGACGAGGAAGGGAAAAAACACAAGCUACCUCAUUUUCAAGUGCGCAUAACUCGCCUACUUAGCCAUCCACGGGAACCGAACAAGGCCCAGCGUAGGAUUAAGGAUGUCCUCUUUUGUCAGGGAAGGUUUUUGUCGUCAUUUCGAGGAGGUUUAUGCCUCCUUAGUUUGUUUCUUCCUGACGACGACGGACAAACUCUGCAGCUGUAACUCACUCGAGCUCGCUCAGCUGAGCGCUCGAGAAUGCGCUUGUUCUUCUUCUUCUUCCUGUGAGUUUCAGUGGGAUCUGACAGUUGUGAGGUGGACGUCUAUUCCACCAGCAGGGCUGGAGAGACACAGCGCAGAAAGAUGAAUGCCCACGGAAGAACGGAACAGUUUUGCUGUGCAGUGUCCCCGUCUGGAUCUUUUGGUAGAAAGGAGAAUACACUAGUUUGUUGAAAGUCACCAAACGUCCCAGCUUAACAGCAAUCUCCUCCAACUCUUUGCUGAUGGGUGCCAGACCCCCAGGGAGGGCUGGGGCACUCUUGUGAAAGCUUGACUCCAGGAACCCCAGAAGAAAACGGGGAAAAGCCAUGCUGAGACAAGCAUCCUUUGAGCUCCAAACACAACUUCUCUCCAAUGGCAGCAAAGUCUCUCCAUGAGGCCCGGAAGUCCAGAAAUGGCCUCUCCAGCACUGUUAUACACUAUGAGCAAGACUGUUGCCACCAAUGCCAGCUGUUCCAGUUCCUGCUGCAUCUCCUGAAACCUGGACUGGUCCAUGAGAAAAGUCUAUGGGAUCAAAAAAGGCAUACAAAUGAGGAAAAGUUCAAUGGAGCUGGACAAGGACACUGGAACAGACCUUUUCUCUUUGAUGGAAAAUAAAGGUGCUCUUGGUCAACCAAAGACCCCAAACAUUGCUCUGGAGAAUGACGGCCGUACUAUCUCAUUGCAAGUCCUGGAAUUUAAAACAAGUCUUCUGGAGGCGGUUGAGGAGUUACAUAUUCACAGGGAUGCUGAAACUCGAUAUGAGGAGCAGAUUUGUAAACUUGUCCUGGAGAAGCAAGAGUUGGAAUGGCAAAAGGAGUCCUUACAAAAUCAGAUUUUUAGAAUGUCGAACAAGAGUUCAGAGUCACUCACUGCUGCAAAGAAACAGGUGUGACAUCACACUCGACCAGUAUUCGCUAAAUAUAUUUCUACACCAGACGGGGAAAAACCAGUUGGCUGCUGAACUGAAAGACAAAGAGAUCACCAGCCUCAAGGAAGAAUUAAAACUACUGCAGUUUAUCAGGUACAGUUUGGAGAAGAAAUUAAGCGAGUUGGUAAGGAUUUCCAAUUAUAUAAAUUGUUGACAGAGGCGAGUGGGAGUGGGAAGAAGUAAAGAGGAGGAACUGAGAGGGACAGCGGAUCAUCAGGAGUAACGGAUAUGGAGGGUGUGACACGUGAACCACCAGCGCCACUGUGAAAAUACCACUAUUAAAAUAUUUUAUAUCAGAGCCUCGCUCUGUUUAACCUUUCAAUGGUGGAGAGGCGAAUCAGUUUGAUACAGAUAAUCAAACAGUAACGGGGCUGCGGUUCACAUAAAAGGCCCUCAGGCAUGUUUGGAAGUUGACUCCUUAUCUAGAAGAAAAGAACAUUCGGCUGAAAUGUUAAACAAAGGUCUUUAAACUCUCAGAGAGAUGAUGCAGUAUAUAUUCAUAGAUUACCCUUGCAGAGAAGAAGAACUGUUAUUACAGUUGUUGCACUUGAAUGGGGAUAUUCCUCUUAGAAGGGAGGACAGUGUGCAUUUUUUAAACUUUUCAGGAGCAAAAGUUGUAGCUGCAGACACAAAUGAAAGACAGCCAGAGAGGCGUUUCGGCACCAUCUCACGACAAUGUGCCAUGGUCAAGCAGGCCCAUGAGAAACUAUAGCAAAAUAGUAUGGCCACUAUUCCUUCUAUAGAACUCAUAAACACUGCCACAAUAAAUAACGCUUCUCUGGUAUUCACUUAGACCAGAUAUUACGGUCCUAACAAAUUAGGUCUGGAUCUUUUGGAUUUGGAUGAGACUGACACUUCUAUUAAAGGCAGACACUAGUAUUUAACCAUUAAAGUCAGUGGUAUAAACAUGAUUAUCUCUUGCCUUCAAACGCUAUUUAUGUAAAGCACUGAUAGAGAGAGUUGCUGCUAAUUUAAAGGACCUGCAAAGCAUUGGGCUGAUAGUUAGUCUGGUAUGCAUAAUCUGUCUUUAUUCACUCUGGACAAAUUUGAUGUUAAAAACUCCCCCUUGGUUUGCAUCUGACAGUGCUGUAUGAAUUGAUUUGCUAUUAUGUGAACAUUAAUUAUUUGUCCUUUGUUUAUGAUUGUUAUAUGAGAAUGUAGAGAAUGCUGCUAUGUAGCAAUGCCAAGCUUUUUUAUUCUCUUUUGACUCUCAAUAUAUUUCUCCAUUAUACCUUUUAUUUAUUUGUAUUUUUAAACUGAAGAGGCCAUGUGGAUUAAUAAAAAACUCACAUCCAUCAAUGAAAAAAAGGAUCUACGAUUAAAACCUUAAAAGAGGAUUUGGAGAGACUUAACAAAGAGUUAGUCACGUUCAAAAUGUCAUCGGUCUGCAAACCUGGAGAGGAGCAUUUACAAAACAGCUUCAGCUACUGCAGCAGAGACUUCUUGUGGAAACAGAGCUUAACAAGAAACUGAGAAACGAAACUGCCACAGAGAGGGCUGAGAAGCAGAAGGUAUUGAGAUCCCUCCACCACACUCAGCAUUUGCUGCAGACACAAACAGAAGCUCUUAGCUGAACAGAGCAGGAGGUCUGCACACUCAGAGCGGAAUAUCAGAUGCUGCUACAACAGGAGACAAUUGAGGCGGAUCAGGUAGAGCUCAUAAAGCCAAAGACAUUCAUAACUCUGAGAUGAAAGCACUACUGAGUGUCAGAGGGCCAUAAAAGAUGGCUGUUCUUAUGAUGAAAACAAGGAACUUAACAUUCCAAUGCAGGCAGAUGGAGUAGUACCUGUACAAUCACCACUGGAAGGACCAGAUAUUUUGGAUUCAAAUGUGUCUGUUUAACUUUUACAGUCAUGAUGAAGACUCCUGACAGGUGGGACACUCCCAGCAAGCGUCACCACCAAAAGAUCGAUUGCAGAGGAGAGUGGAAUGCAAUCAUGCAGUCUAUUUCUGAAAUUUUAGCAGAGAAAGAGAAUCAAGUUCUUAUCUCCUUCAGCUCGACUCUGAGUGAUAGCCCAGCCUCUUCUUCUGUGGGUAAUGGGCUGUGAAAAGACUGCACUCCUACUGUUACUCCUCCCAAACUCCAGAGCGUGGAGAAAGGGACCCGAUAUGUGGCCAAAAGGGGUACACCUAUUUCUGAAGGAAAAGAGGAACGGAAGCCAUCUGACAUAAUGACCCAAAUUGCAAAAAUCUAAGAAUUUAUGUCAUCAGAGGGUUUAACACAUCGAAAGAGAUGCAAAAUAGACUGAAAUGCUUAAUUUUUUAAAUAAUUUCCAGUGGCAUACAUUCUGUGCCAUAGCCAUAUUGGUACUCAGUUUGAAAUGUGUUAGUAUGUGUUUGUUAAGAUAUAUUUAAUUUCUGACACUCCGUACAAAUAGAUACACUAUAUAAACUAUAUUUGUGUUAAUUGUUAAUAUAUUUUCAGAUUAGAUAAUUGAGUACAUUUUUAUUAUUUCAAGCAACAUUUUCUUAAAAAACAUUAAAUGUUUGCAUCUGUUGAUGCAUGUAUAGUGUUAGCCUAUUGCUGAAAAGGGAAAGUGCUACACAUAAAACCUGUUAAUUACAUUGUACAAGCUAAUUAACACUCAUUACUCCCAGGCUUGCCUGCCCAUUCCUCAGAGGGCAUUUAAUGGCCAAACAUUUCUAAUUUACAUUUGGAACACAAACUGUGGCCAACUAUAACUUGAGAUAAUUAGAAUGCACAAGUAAGAAGAAUCAAUUAGCUCAUAUUAAGCCAAAUUAACAAAUGCAAUGAGUCUCCCAUUAAGUUUAUGUCCUCAGUAAAUAGGCUAUAGGGACCAUGUGGACACAUGUUAGGGCGAUACAGAUGAAAAAUUAAAUGUGUUGCAUAUGGUGACACUAGUCACAGAGUGGAUACUUGGGCUUGAGAUUCACAUUGAUAGUUUUUUUUAAGCAGUUAAUUCAUAGCUUUCGUAAAAUUUGCCUGAGAUUCAUAAAGAAGUACAAUUAAACUUGGACUUUUUUAAAUUCGAUUUUUUCCCUGCAUCUUAUAAACAAAGCACAUGCAUUAAACUGCUAUAUGCUAUAAUGCUACCUGAAGGGAUAGUUCACCAAAAAUAACAACUAUGUCAUCAUUCACUUACUCUCAUGUUGUUCCAAAUAUGUAUUUCUUCCGUAGAACACAAAAAACAAUAGGAAGAAUGUUAGCCUCAGUCACAGUUCACUUUUGCAUCUUUUGUCCAUACGUUAAAAGUGAAUGGUGACUGAGGCUAUCAUUCUACCAACAUCUCCUUUGGAAGAAUGGGGUGAUAUUAGAUUUUAUUAUAUUUUUGAUUGAACUAUCCCUUUAACUGAACAUAGCCCAUGCAGUGAUGAUAUUAAGCUGUAUUUUUUAUAAGCUAUAUUUUUAGUGAAAUUAACCAGCUGAGUUUUCUAUCUCAAAUUAAACGCUUUAAAGAGCCUCACAAAAACAUUUUGCCUCAAGAGUACUAAAAUCACCCAGCAGAAAGGAAAUGCGCACCUCUUGAUUAUAGCACAAGGUCCCUCAGAGGUUCACCUUAAUACACUUACUCAUUAUUAAUAUGUCAAAAUGUUAAUGUCCUCGUAAAAAAAAUCUUAUGCAUUCCAGCCACUGUGCCAGCUGUACUGACCCUUAUCCUUUGAGGGAGUGGGCAAUAUGGAGAGCGUAAUUUUAAUACACACUCUGGAUUAUGAAGUGGCAAUCCUUUGAAACAGUCAAUUACACUUGAGUGCGGGAGGACCCAAGUGUUAAUUACUAGUCGGUUUUAUAUAGUGUGUAAAUACAGAGCCUGCUGACAUUCACAUUCCAUCACUGUGUCCUGACUGCCACAGCAAAUUAGCCUGACCCAUCUGGGUGUACACUGCUAGGCCCCAAUGUGUUCAUUUAACUUUAGAAUAACAUUCACCACAAACAAGGAUAAGGGUACAGGAUGUGGGAGCCCAACUCUGUAUAUGGGGGUUGUAGUUGCUACGAAUAGGUCUUUGGGCUUAAUUUAUCUACCCUUUUAUAAAAAGGAUUUAGAAGACGGAAAUACACAGCCAUGCAAAGACAAACACUGUAACUACAUAUUAAGUCAAAAGUGACUUGUGACCAAAAUCUUGUCUCUUAUGAUCUGACAGAUGGGUUUGGCUCAGCUAUACUCAGAUUCAGAGAAAACUGAAUGCCCUGUUUAAAGACCUCUUAUAAGACCUUUUAUAAAAUUUAUAAGCUACACAAUUCUGCCUUUAAACUGUCCAAAAGUUGGCCCCAUUUACUUCCAUUGUAAGUGCCUCACUGUAACCUCGAUUUUUGCUUUUUUCAAAGAAAAAGAGGGACGAAUUGAAUUAUGUUGAUUGAGCUUAACUUGUUUUGAACCCAGAAUAUUCCUUUAAGCGCAGUGAUGGACUACACAAUUCGUGCAAAAUCAGUGAUUGCACCUGCUCGUGGGAUCCCCAAACUGCAAAUGCAAGGACUUAGUUUGGACUUUGCGUUGAGAAUAGAUGUGGUGCUCAGACAUCUUGCGCCUCUUCAUUUACAUGGACCUUCCAUAUUUCUUUGUAAAUACACCCACAGUUUCCUGGCAUAAAACCAGUGCAAACACUUACACCCAUGGCCAGUUGCCUGUUGCCCAGGUGCAAAUAUUGCACUUAUAGUAUAUGUAGUGCUCUCGUGAAAAUUGGAUAAGACGUAGCGCACAGUCGUAUCACAUAGCCCUGUGCCUAACGUGAGUAAAUUUUUCUCAGGUUUAGUGUUGGCAUAGUUACUGUUUUGCCUUUGUAGGUAAUUACAGCCUUGGGUGACUGAGGUGUGCCCCAAACCAGGCACGUGGAUGUAUAACUGUUUACCUCUUUUUGUAAGCCCACAACCCACCGACCCCUCCCCCCUUUCUUUCUUUCUUUUUUUAACAGUGCACUCCUGCUCUCCCUCUAGUCGUGAAUCACCUCCGCUUUGGCCUUCUCAUCUUACCUCUCAUUGAGGGACGAGAAGAUAAUCCCUGCCUGCCCACUACUGUUAAGGGUCAACACAGUUUAAAGUUCACCAUCCACAUCAUUUAUAUGGACUUAAAUUAGCCCAAAUGCAAUGUUCUGACUGUUCAUCUCUCUUUCAAGCAGUUGUUAAUCUUAUUGUUGUACUACGUUCUCUGUACAAAUCCACUGAGAAAUAGGAAAGUUAAGGUAAUGCUCAGCGGAUGGCUGUUUUGAUUGAAUUAUACCCCUCAAGGACCACCAUGGCGGCCCCAUACGUUUUUAAUUCUGAAGAGGCAAGAAGUGAUCACAUGGGUACACAGUACUCCCCAUACGUGGAGUACGUCAUCCCCGCCUAUAUAUCUCUUCAGCCAGCAAUGUACACAUCUUAAAGGAUGAGCUGUUUCGGGUGGGCGGGGGGUGAUUUGGAGCCCUAUCUUAACCCUCAUGCCGUUCUGCAUUAGCUGUGUCCCUAUUGAGGUGUCAGCCCAUAAGUCUUACUCAGUGGGAUGUCUCAGGCAGAUGAUGGAGAGCACUUCUUCACUCCAGGGGGAUCUUGUAAAACUUGCAUGCCCCAGUCUCUACUCCCAGUCUGACCUCCUCCUCGACAUGGUCUCUCUUCAUGCUAAAUCAGAACUUGUGAAUGACACGCUAGAUCCAUUAAGCAACAAAUGUAUUUGGUUACUACUUUUAAAGGGUCAGGAUAUUGCAGGUGUCUUCUUGGUUGAAGUACUACUGUCAAACUCAUAAAAGUUUUGUGGUUGUAAUGUUUAUCAAUGUAAACUUCCCAAUCAAGUUAGGUGUUGGAAUAAAUACUAAAAAUAAAGAUUUAAUGUGUCUUUAUAGUAACAGUUGGUAAAAGGUUACAAAGUAGUCGUAGUCUUUCCCGACAUUGCUUAUCAAUUUCCUACUGAUCCUGAACAUUAUAUUUCACUGCUACACUAUGUGUAGAAAUGGCAUAACCUACUGCCAUUUAUUCAUUAGUUUAAUUGAUCAUUCCUGAAAUACAUUAUGCAAACAUUUUUUUUUUAUUUUCUUUUUUUAUCA